Molecule: long non-coding RNA, 1055 nt
Organism: Podarcis raffonei (Aeolian wall lizard)
Lineage: Eukaryota; Metazoa; Chordata; Lepidosauria; Squamata; Lacertidae
Exons: 4
Source: RefSeq, a predicted model, not a curated record
ACUCAAGGAACCCAGCAGUUUCAUGAAGAUGUUCAAAAACUGUGGGAGGUAAGUUGGGUCAUUGUAGGACUCCAUAAGCAAAAAAAGAUCAGCUGAAGUUGGAGUCUAUCAACAUUCCCAUUCUUGGACCAAUCCUCCAGGCAUGGUGGGAACUGCUGCGGAAUAACAUCCUUUCAUUCCGUCCCAGCUAAGUGGAACCUGAACAGGUGCACUACACACUACAAGAGUCCACUAAAUACGGAUUUAUACACUGCUUAAUCAUCAAAAGCUCUAGAAGUAGCUGUUUCAAGAGACACAAACGUGCUGCCACUUUUCUCUCUCUUCACACUGUUAUCUAUAGAGUGCAAUGAAGCCCCAUCAGAGACAGGAGAGACACAACUGUUAGAACAACUGCAGAGCAGCUUUAGUUACCCCCUCCCAAUCUGGCAUCAUCUGCAAACUUUAUGAGCAUCCCCUCAAUUCCUUCAUCCAGGCCCUUCAUAAAGACGUUGAACAACAACGGGCCCAGGACAGAACCCUGCGGCUCUUCACUUGUCACUUUUUCUCAGGAGGGCGAGAAACCAUCAAUGAGCACUUUUUGGGUUCAGUCAGUCAACUAGCUACAAAUCCACCUAACAGUUACCUCAUCCAACCCAGAGGCAACAUGCCUCUUAUAUCAGUUGCUGGGGAUCUCAGGUGGAGAGGGUGCUGUUGUGCUCAUGUCUUGCUUGUGAGCUUCUCAAUGACAUCUGGUUGGCCAUGGUGGAAAUGAAAUGCUGGACUAAAUGGGCCAUUGGUUAAAUCCAGCAGGGUUCUUUUUAUGUUCUCAUGAGCAAGCAGGCUACUGCAGCCAAUACUUUUUUUAAAAAAGAAAGAAAGAAAGAUAGUUUAAGGUUUGAGCAGCAGAGAAAAUAAAGGAAAGGUCAGGAUGGUGCUGGAUGGUAGUGCCAGAGUUGCAGAAGUGGAAGAGCAGCUGAACGCCUAGUAUCCCUCAGGGAAACAGCAGUGAUUGAAAAAGGCAACAGCAGGCAGCUCAAUACGGGUGGGUUUGUUUUCAUUAGCAACAAUCAUGAUAA